ACACUCCUGCGGGAGGCAGCAGUGGGGAAUAUUGGACAAUGGGCGCAAGCCUGAUCCAGCCAUGCCGCGUGAGUGAUGAAGGCCCUAGGGUUGUAAAGCUCUUUCACCGGUGAAGAUAAUGACGGUAACCGGAGAAGAAGCCCCGGCUAACUUCGUGCCAGCAGCCGCGGUAAUACGAAGGGGGCUAGCGUUGUUCGGAUUUACUGGGCGUAAAGCGCACGUAGGCGGACUAUUAAGUCAGGGGUGAAAUCCCGGGGCUCAACCCCGGAACUGCCUUUGAUACUGGUAGUCUUGAGUUCGGGAGAGGUGAGUGGAAUUCCGAGUGUAGAGGUGAAAUUCGUAGAUAUUCGGAGGAACACCAGUGGCGAAGGCGGCUCACUGGCUCGAUACUGACGCUGAGGUGCGAAAGCGUGGGGAGCAAACAGGAUUAGAAACCCCGGUAGUCCC
Molecule: ribosomal RNA, 447 nt
Filed under: uncultured organism
Description: partial 16S ribosomal RNA
Rfam family: Bacterial small subunit ribosomal RNA
Source: RNAcentral